CGGUGGUUGCCAUGGCAGCAGAGCUGACUCAGGACCAGGUGUCGUGGACCAGGAGAGAAGGGGAAAAUGUCUCCUUCAGAUGUACAGACACUGACCAGUGUGGUCUUAUCUACUGGUACCAGAAGAAAGAGGGGGAAACGUUAGCCGUGAUUCUUUCUUUUGAAAAAAGUUUGGGUCAAUUACAAAAAGGGUUCAACCAUCCUCAGGAAGAUGACUUCUCAUCAGUCCUCAAAGACAACAGCUGGGAGUUGUCGCUUCAAAAGCCUCUUACAAAGCCCUCCUCUCAGGACAAGAAAAUUCAUCCUCACGCCUCCCUUGUAGUGGUGCUGAUCAUCUAUAGGGGAUCGAUGUGUUCAACAAGUUAUUGAUCAGCGCUGACAGCAUCACAGGCAGUGAGCAGAGGUUUAUGAUACAGGAUAUUUCACUGUGGGCGUCUAUAUCUUUGGACGCGGCACCACCCUGGUUGUUACCGCCAGGUCAGUGGAGCGGCCCAAAGUGAGCGUCUACCCAGCGACGGGAGCUGAUUUAAAGGGCCGGCGCUCCCUGCUGUGUGUAGCCAGAGACAUGGUCCCUGAGGAGGUCCGGGUGUCCUGGAGGAGGAGAGGGGGGGGCGGAGGGGGGGGGAAGGACGGGGAGCAGCUGGAGCUCCGAGCCCCGACAUACGCUGCCAGCAUCCUGGUUAUUGAUCAGGGAGAAACCCUCAUGGAUCAAUACAUCUGUAGGGUUGAGCAUGAGAGCGGUCGGCAGGAGGUGGAGGUCCCAGCAGAAAUGACCUUGACGUCAGAAGGCCCCGGAAUGAUAGAAAUGACCUUGACUUCAGAAGGCCCCGGAAAGACAGAUGUUACCUUAGCGACGGCAGUUACUACGGACCCCCGGCGUCCAGGGAGACCCAGAGAAGGUCCUUCAGAUGAAACACACCAGUCCCUCCAGGUGCUGUCCAGAGCCAGGCUGGCGUCUGUGCUCUACACAGUGAUGGUGGUGAAGAGUGUGCUCUGCUGCUGUGGCCUGGCUCUCCUGCUCCUCCACACCAACAAGACCAGCAGGACGCCCAGAACCAGCACCACCACAGCCCUGGACUGACGCUGCUGUCCCCCAGAACCAGCACCACCACAGCCCUGGACUGACGCUCCUGUCCCCCAGAACCAGCACCACCACAGCCCUGGACUGACGCUCCUGUCCCCCAGAACCAGCACCACCACAGCCCUGGACUGACGCUGCUGUCCCCCAGAACUAGCAGACCCACCUCGUAGAAGCAUAUGAGGUCAUCAUGUCAUCAUGUCGUCAUGUCAUCAGAUCAUCAUGUCAUCAUGUCACCAUGUCAUCAUGUCAUCAGAUCAUCAUGUCAUAAUGUAAAGUUGUUAUUCAUUUCUAGUCUCCACGUUCUUCUGCUCUUUUCCCUCCACUGUUCGGACCAGAAAACUGCAUGAGCUUUUCACAGUUUUCUGUUUCCUGUUUCUUAGUGUGUACUGUCACCCAUGUAUCAUCUAACACACUCCCUUCAUUUAAACAGGCCCUCAAAACCCACCUUUUCAAGAUCGCUUUCAACACAUAACCUCCUUCCCUUCUCUACCCUCCCUCCGUUUAACUAUUCCUCUCUUUUCUACCUAUUUCAGUUUUUUAGAUAUCUAUUUCCAAUUUUAUCUUCUUACUUAUAUACGUUAUUAUUAAAUGUUUUUAUUCUGUGUUCACUCUGUUAAGCGACUUUGAGUAUUUAGAAAAGCGUAAUGUGAGCUGAAUGUAUUAUUAUUAUUAUUAUGUAUUAAUAAUAAUAAUAAAGGACAUGCUUUUAAAAUAUUAAAACUCUCAAAUGUAGCAUUAGCUGGUUGUCUAUUAAUGGAGUUGUAUUCAUAAGGUGAAUUAUGUUAUUAUAUAGAAGCGUAUUUGCUUAAUCUUUGAGUCAGUCUGGAUGGCUCAUGGCCCUCUGUUGGAACAUGUGUGGUUGAACAGGUUGAAGGAACAUUAUACGUAGAACUGUAGGAUAGUUUAACUAUAAGAAUAAAUGAACAUGACAACGAUUCUGAAUAAAACCUUUAGAUGAACAUCAACUAUGCUUCAAGCCACAAUGGAAAUAGAUUUUAACUUUGCUCGAGUGUAAGGUUAACUUUGAACUAGAAUUUAACCGGCUAGUUUCUAGACAUUUAUAAGUCUAGUGUACGCUCAGGGUGUUAAAAUUCAAGGUGCGAUAAAAUUGGAUUACCCCCAAAAUUGGACGUCUUCAUUGGCGAGCAAAACACAUUUCAUUCCUUAUUAAACCCCCUCAAUGCUUGAAAAGCUCAAAUCUGCAGACAGACAUAAUGAAAAAGCUUUGCAUCCUAUCAAAUGAUUGAUUGUCUUAGUAGUUCUGAAAGAUUAAGGUAGGUUUACUGUAGUUCUAAAUAUUUGUAUGGUUCUGAAGGAGCACCAUUUUAUGAUUCUGAAUGAGUUUAUUGUGAAGUCGUUUAUUGUAAUUAUGGAUUAUUUAAUUUUAGUUCUGAAGGAGCACCUUAUUGACUUUAUUGUGAUUGUGAAGGAAUUCUUUGUAGUUCGGGUGUAGUUUAUUCUAAUUUAGGUAAUUUAAGGUAAUUAAAAGAGUAUCAAAACAUGAUAACGUUAGUGUUUCUUUAUUAUUAAUACCAGGGGAUGCAGGAAAUGGCUACCCAUGAUAUUACUACCAACCUGUCGCAGUUUCAACGGUUGUUUAUCUUUGUGUAGUUUUUGUUCCUUUCUCCUGAUGUCCUCAGCUAUUCUUUUCCUUCCCAGUCAUCGUCUUCUUCCACCUGUGUUGAUUUGUUAAUAGUGUCCUCAUGUGUAUUUAAGCCCUCUGUUUUUUAUGCAUUUGUCUCAAGGUCCUGUCCUGUAGCUAAACCAGUCUAAUAAGUCUCCAAGUGAAUUAUUAUACUUUUGUUUGAUUUCAAUCAUUAUUUUUGAUAAAUCUGCAGUUUCCGCAGAGAUUAACAUGAUUUUGGUUUAACCUUCUCAACCUUCUCUCCUUUUGAGAUUAAAACCUGAUCUUUAAGUUACACUGCCAACAAAUAUCACAUACCAUAUUUAUUUAUGUAGGCUACUAAACACAAGAAAAUGGACAAAAAGAUGUGUAAAGCAGUGUAGUGGGGCGCCCCGGUGGCUCACCGGGUAGAGCGCGUAGCAUAUAAGACUCAGCCCUUACUGCAGUGACGCGGGUUUGAUUCCUGCAGUGGUCCUAUGCUGCAUGUCCCCUGCUCUCUCUCCCUUACCUUCCUGUCUAUCUCACUUUAUCAUAAAGCAUACAAAUAAAUCGUAAAAAAAACUCGAUAAAUGCGCAGUUAAUUUUUUUUCAUUAUCUUGGUACAUAAGUAGAUGGAUGGAAAUCUUAAGCAUCGCUUUGCUGUUGUUGUUAGUCUAUUAUUUUGGUUUAAUUUGGAAUUGUAUGUAAUUGAAUACACUUAUUUAAAAAGUAAAGUGUUAGUGGAUACAGUUUCCAAUUCAGAAUACAUUUCAUGGUGUGUAUCCAAUUGUUAUGUAUGAAUUUGUCUUCAUAUUUAUAGAUUUAUUCAAUAACAUUUCCAAUAAAAAAUUAUUCAAA
Molecule: long non-coding RNA, 3541 nt
Organism: Gadus morhua (Atlantic cod)
Lineage: Eukaryota; Metazoa; Chordata; Actinopteri; Gadiformes; Gadidae
Source: Ensembl